Nerophis ophidion (straightnose pipefish) is the source of this 683-nucleotide long non-coding RNA. RefSeq lists it as uncharacterized. NCBI's taxonomy places the organism in Eukaryota, Metazoa, Chordata, Actinopteri, Syngnathiformes, Syngnathidae. The transcript has 4 exons. The record is from RefSeq and is a predicted model, not a curated record.
UCAACAGGUCCAGUGAUUCGAGCAAAUCGUCUCAUAACGUCAUAGAGCUCCUGCACUCCCUUUGGGUAGCAACGCUCCAGUACUGCAAAACCACAAGGGAGAGGGAGAAAAGCAGAGAACAUGAUUCCAGUGACAAAGUGGCAAGAAAAGAAAGAAGAUAGAAGAAAAGAGGAAUGUACCUGACCUCUGAACCCUGACACUUGGUCACACUGAAGCAAAAGGGCUAACGUCCUGUUAGCACACACCCAGUGCUUCCUGUAUGGACUGAGCGACUUCCUGUAGAACUUCCUGUGUUGAAUCUCUCAGCACAGCUGCUUAUCUGUGUAGCACACGAUGACAAAACCAUGGACCUGCACGCGCACGCAAACAAAUAGAGACCGUUGUGGGACUUGAGUGAUGAGAGUGGUGCUGCUCCUGUAUCUGGUGACAUGUUGGUUGUGUGUUGAAAGAGCUCCAUUGGCUUUUGAGGGUCAUCCAGGACCACCACAGCCUGGCACAUUCUUCCACUCUGUGUAUGAAACUCAGAGGAUAAGAUGGUCACAAUAAGACUAUUUUAUUUCAGCAUUAUUAUUACCUUCACCAAGUACAUAGCGUAAUAAAAAUGCCAUUUGUCAGUUUGUUAUUGAGCAAAAUUGCUUAUAAAAAUGCUUUGAUGGAUACUGAUAAACAAAAAUUGGACUUCU